This 725-nucleotide small RNA is filed under the name Pan troglodytes (chimpanzee). RNAcentral describes it as "retained intron". Lineage: Eukaryota; Metazoa; Chordata; Mammalia; Primates; Hominidae. The record is from RNAcentral.
AUCAAAAUACACAAAGACACAAGCCAGGUCCCCACCGCGCUUGGCAUCCAUAGCAGCCUUGGUGCUGUGGACACUCCCUGGGGCCCAGCGAAGGGGAGAGUUUGCUCCCAAAGGCACACCAAUGACCAACAUUUGCCCCCCGGAGGAAAGAACUGGAACCAGCCUCUGACCUGUCCAGGUGCCCUGUCCAGCUGACUGCAAGGACAGAGAGGAGUCCUGCCCAGCUCUUGGAUCAGUCUGCUGGCCGAGGAGCCCGGUGGAGCCGGGGGUGACCCUGGAGCCCAGCCUGCCCCGAGGAGGCCCCGGCUCAGAGCCAUGCCAGGUAGGCAGGUCAGAGAGGGAUGGGCUUGAGUUCCCCACUCCCACCUCCUGCCCCUCAGGCUGGCUCCACAUUGUGCAUCCUGCUCUUAUCCCAGGCACUCUGCCUGGCCACAUGCCGGGGGUACAAAGGCCCCUGCUCACCCCUCCCCCUGGGCCCUUGGCCCUGAAACCAGGGCGAGUGGUGAGGAUGAGCCCUGCACCCUCUCCUGCCCCAGACUAGGCUCAUGAGGGUCAGUAAAGCCCCAGGAAUGCUAGGAGUGGGCACUGCUGGGGCCCACAGCGGGGUGUGGCCGAUGUGAGCUGGCAGGAGACCAUACCCUACUGAGAAGAUGGUGGUUUGACCUCCCGCUAGGGCUCAUCACCCUGAUGUAAAGAUGAACAAGUUCAGGCCUCAGGUGGUGGGG